RNAcentral lists this ribosomal RNA (331 nucleotides) under uncultured Chloroflexota bacterium. RNAcentral's name for it is "bacterial SSU rRNA". It matches the Rfam family "Bacterial small subunit ribosomal RNA", at positions 28 to 351 of the family's 1533-position model. The record is from RNAcentral. Lineage: Bacteria; Bacillati; Chloroflexota.
GAUGAACGCUGGCGGCGUGCCUAAUACAUGCAAGUCGAACGGUGAACAUCGUAGCAAUACUUUGUUCUUAGUGGCGAACGGGUGAGUAACGCGUUGGUGACCUGCCCCGAAGAGGGGGAUAACAGUCCGAAAGGACUGCUAAUACCCCAUGUGGUCUCAGGGAUUAGAUGCCCUGAGUCUAAAGGAGUAAUCCACUUUGGGAGGGACCUGCGUCCCAUCAGCUAGUUGGUAAGGUAACGGCCUACCAAGGCUUCGACGGUAGGGGACCGUGAGAGGGUGGCCCCCCGACCAAUGGAACUGAAACAACGGUCCAUACACCUACGGGAGGCAG